RNAcentral lists this long non-coding RNA (384 nucleotides) under Homo sapiens (human). RNAcentral describes it as "HSALNT0247547". Lineage: Eukaryota; Metazoa; Chordata; Mammalia; Primates; Hominidae. The record is from RNAcentral.
GUUCCCAAUUUCUUCCAUUGUUAUUGUUCUGUUAGUUUCUCUCUUCUGGAAUCAAUUCUGAUAACUGGAUUUCCCAUUGCCAAGGCAUCCUGCAGGACGCUCAACAAGCAGGCAACUAAGGAAGAGUAGAUUAAGCUACCCUGGAACAACUUGUGACACUGUGACCAACACAUAUGCUUCCUUUGACGAUGGAGGACUCCUGUGUUUUAGCUCCAUGCAUCUGGGCUGUGGCUCCCCCUAAAUCACUCAUCCCUUAACCUGGAGUUGACUGCAGAUGCGUGAAGGAGCUCAGGAGGGCCAACAGAAGAAGCAUCCAACUGAGCGCAUCUAGCUGGCAACCCACAGAAUCAUCUUGAGGAAAAUAAAUGAUUGUUGCUCAAAACC